This 467-nucleotide ribosomal RNA is filed under the name uncultured bacterium. RNAcentral describes it as "partial 16S ribosomal RNA". The stretch from base 48 to 467 matches the Rfam family "Bacterial small subunit ribosomal RNA", at positions 34 to 506 of the family's 1533-position model. The record is from RNAcentral.
GGGGGGGGGGGGGGGGGGGCGGGGGGGGGGGGGGGGGGGGGGGGGGGCGCUGGUUGUGUGGGGGGCUCGAGGGGCGAACGGGUGGGUAACACGGGAGUAACCUGCCCUUGACUUUGGGAUAACUUCAGGAAACUGGGGCUAAUACCGGAUAGGAGCUCCUGCUGCAUGGUGGGGGUUGGAAAGUUUCGGCGGUUGGGGAUGGACUCGCGGCUUAUCAGCUUGUUGGUGGGGUAGUGGCUUACCAAGGCUUUGACGGGUAGCCGGCCUGAGAGGGUGACCGGCCACAUGGGGACUGAGAUACGGCCCAGACUCCUACGGGAGGCAGCAGUGGGGAAUAUUGCACAAUGGGCGGAAGCCUGAUGCAGCAACGCCGCGUGCUGGAUGACGGCCUUCGGGUUGUAAACCGCUUUCGCCUGUGACGAAGCGUGAGUGACGGUAAUGGGUAAAGAAGCACCGGCUAACUACGU